AACGAACGCUGGCGGCGUGCUUAAUACAUGCAAGUCGUGCGAGAAAGUCCGGCUUCGGUUGGGCGAGUAAAGCGGCGAACGGGUGAGUAACACGUGGAUAAUCUGCCCUCGAGUUCGGGAUAAUUCCCUGAAAGGGGUUGUAAUACCGGAUAACACAUCAUGAAGGCAUCUUCGUGAGGUCAAAGUCGGGGUAACCUGCCGCUUGAGGAUGAGUCCGCGUUCCAUUAGCUUGUUGGUGAGGUAAAAGCUCACCAAGGCUGCGAUGGAUAGCCGGCCUGAGAGGGCGAUCGGCCACACUGGGACUGAGAUACGGCCCAGACUCCUACGGGAGGCAGCAGUAGGGAAUAUUGCGCAAUGGACGCAAGUCUGACGCAGCAACGCCGCGUGGGUGAUGAAGCUUUUCGGAGUGUAAAACCCUGUCAGCGGGGAAGAACCGUGCAAGUAGUAACUGACUUGCGCCUGACGGUACCCGCAGAGGAAGUCCCGGCUAACUCCGUGCCAGCAGCCGCGGUAAUACGGGGGGGACUAACGUUGUCCGGAUUUACUGGGUAUAAAGGGCUCGCAGGCGGCCAAGCAAGUCAGAUGUGAAAGCCCACGGCUCAACCGUGGAAGUGCAUUGAAACUGCUUGGCUUGAGGUAUCGGAGGGGGUAGUGGAAUUCCCGGUGUAGCGGUGAAAUUCGUAGAUAUCGGGAGGAAUACCGGUGGCGAAGGCGACUUUCUGGCUGAAUACUGACGCUGAGGCGCGAAAGCGUGGGGAGCAAACAGGAUUAGAUACCCUGGUAGUCCACGCCGUAAACGAUGUCAACUAGGUGCAGGGGGUGUUGAUCCCCUCUGUGUCGCAGCUAACGCAUUAAGUUGACCGCCUGGGGAGUACGGUCGCAAGAUUAAAACUCAAAGGAAUUGACGGGGGCCCGCACAAGCGGUGGAGUAUGUGGUUUAAUUCGAUGCAACGCGCAGAACCUUACCUGGGCUUGACAUCCUGAAAAAGCCCUAGAAAUAGGGAAGUGAUCUCUUUGAGAGAAUACACAGGUGCUGCAUGGCUGUCGUCAGCUCGUGCCGUGAGGUGUUGGGUUAAGUCCCGCAACGAGCGCAACCCUUGUCCAUAGUUACCAUCAGGUCACGCUGGGGACUCUAUGGAGACUGCCAGUGAUAAGUCGGAGGAAGGUGGGGACGACGUCAAGUCCUCAUGGCCCUUACACCCAGGGCUACACACGUACUACAAUGGUCGGUACAGAAGGUCGCAAUAUCGCGAGAUGGAGCUAAUCCCAAAAACCGGCCUCAGUUCAGAUUAGAGUCUGCAACUCGACUCUAUGAAGGCGGAAUCGCUAGUAAUCGCUGAUCAGCAAGCAGCGGUGAAUACGUUCCCGGGGAUUGUACACACCGCCCGUCAAGCCAUGGAAGUUGGGAGCACCCGAAGUCGUUUGCCUAACCGCAAGGAAGGCGGCGCCUAAGGUGAUACUGAUGACUAGGGCU
RNAcentral lists this ribosomal RNA (1474 nucleotides) under uncultured prokaryote. Its description in RNAcentral is "partial 16S ribosomal RNA". It matches the Rfam family "Bacterial small subunit ribosomal RNA". The record is from RNAcentral.